GUCCAAGGGGAGCAUGUGGACUAUGACUCCUCCCAUGGUCCUUGGUGGAUCGCAGCACAGAUUAUGCGUAGGGCUGCGUGCACCCAUGCUCUUGGGCCAUGCACCUACAUGCACCCACACUGGCCCACACGCAUAGCAGGCUCCGCUAGGCCGCAUGUGUUAUAGGCCCCAUACGUUGCAGCGGGCCUAGGCAUCUGCAGACCUGUGCGCCUAUGUCUGCUAACCCCAAUCUGUUGGGCUUCUCCAUCUUGGGUUUUUCUUCUAUGGGCUUCUCUAUUGCGGGUCGAAUUUGAGGUGUCAAAUCCAACAAUCUUCACCUUGACUAGACAUUCGAUUUCCACCUAACUCCAAGAGCUUCGAAUAAUCUCGCUCCCAUGCACUGGGGUAUAUGCCUGAUUGCUUAUGGAUAGGUAAAUAUGGAAGUCGAGUCAAAUUGCUCAAUCUUAUAUCCAUCAUAUGCUGUGAUCUGUCUGACCUGAAACCUACUCGUGGUAGCCUCAUGUGGCAAUAGGAACUUCACCCUACAAUGUCGUAUGUCAUCCUCCCAAGUC
This 551-nucleotide long non-coding RNA is filed under the name Elaeis guineensis (African oil palm). RNAcentral describes it as "long non-coding RNA (EGUI_LNC041118)". Lineage: Eukaryota; Viridiplantae; Streptophyta; Magnoliopsida; Arecales; Arecaceae. The record is from RNAcentral.